GUCGGUAAAACUCGUGCCAGCCACCGCGGUUAUACGAGAGGCUCAAGUUGACAGACAACGGCGUAAAGAGUGGUUAAGGAAAAUAUUCAACUAAAGCGGAACCCCCUCAUUGCUGUCAUACGCUCCCGAGAGGAUGAACCCCAACUACGAAGGUGGCUUUAUAAAACCUGAACCCACGAAAGCUAAGAAACAAACUGGGAUUAGAUACCCCACUAUG
RNAcentral lists this ribosomal RNA (217 nucleotides) under Decapterus macarellus (mackerel scad). RNAcentral's name for it is "partial large subunit ribosomal RNA". It matches the Rfam family "Bacterial small subunit ribosomal RNA", at positions 492 to 794 of the family's 1533-position model. The record is from RNAcentral. Lineage: Eukaryota; Metazoa; Chordata; Actinopteri; Carangiformes; Carangidae.